RNAcentral lists this ribosomal RNA (538 nucleotides) under uncultured bacterium. RNAcentral describes it as "bacterial SSU rRNA". It matches the Rfam family "Bacterial small subunit ribosomal RNA", at positions 774 to 1324 of the family's 1533-position model. The record is from RNAcentral.
AGUGAAUAGAUACCCUGGUAGUCCACGCUGUAAACGAUGGAUGCUAGCUGUGAUACGUAUCGACCCGUGUCGUAGCGAAGCUAACGCGUUAAGCAUCCCGCCUGUGGAGUACGGCCGCAAGGCUAAAACAUAAAGGAAUUGACGGGGACCCGCACAAGCGGUGGAGCGUGUUGUUUAAUUCGAUGGUAAGCGAAGAACCUUACCCAGGUUUGACAUCCUUGGAAAUUCUGCGAAAGCAGAGUGUGCCUUUUGGAACCAAGUGACAGGUGAUGCAUGGCCGUCUUCAGCUCGUGUCGUGAGACGUUAGGUUAAGUCCUUCAACGAGCGCAACCCUUAUAGUUAGUUGUAUUUUUCUAGCUAGACUGCCCUGGUAACAGGGAGGAAGGAGGGGAUGAUGUCAGGUCAGUAUCUCCCUUAUAUCUGGGGCUACAAACACGCUACAAUGGCCGGUACAAAGGGAAGCCAACCCGCGAGGGGGAGCAAAUCCCAUCAAAGCCGGUCUCAGUUCGGAUUGCAGGCUGAAACUCGCCUGCAUGAA